This 3128-nucleotide long non-coding RNA is filed under the name Brassica napus (rape). RNAcentral describes it as "long non-coding RNA (BNAP_LNC000769)". The record is from RNAcentral. Lineage: Eukaryota; Viridiplantae; Streptophyta; Magnoliopsida; Brassicales; Brassicaceae.
AAACACAAGGCACAAAGUGAUUCCAAAAACUCGUGUAUCUUUUAUUAGAAAUCCUUUACACAAUCUCUUACAGACUUGUUUGAUCCGAAUUACACAACUCGACACGGAUCGAUUUCUAACAAACCCAACUUACUUGACUCAACACCUGUUGAUCAAGUCUACCAAUUCACUCAGCUAUGAAACCCCAAAACCCUUUGUGUUUCUCUCUGAGAAUUACAACGUGAAAGCUCUAACCCUAAUCUUAGGUAAAGCCACCAUAUAUAUUAAAUAAUAUUUUCCUAUUAUCUAAUAUAAUAUUUCCUAUAUUUUAACAUCACCAAAUAUUCCAAUUUGUGAUCUAAUAACAUUCCUUUAAUGCUUAUUUCGUCAACCAAGCAUAUGGAAAUAUCACACAUUAUCGCAUCUUGACGUUUCCUUUUUAUUCUCCGAAGCAUGUGUCACACAUUACUCUCCAUGUGUAACACAUGUACACGAACCAAAACUCCAGCACAGCAGCAACCUGUCAAGCUCCAAGUUCUUGAGCUUACAUUCUCCCCCUUUUUCACUGAGUUUUACAACUCAAGCUCAAUAACCUCUAAGCACAAUAUGCAUCAUACAUCCCAUCAAAGUAUUAACUUAAACUCCCUCUGAAUCAAGUACCAUCUCCCCCUGCUUGAGUGGAAAACACUGUGAAAAACUUCAUGAUACUUGUUGGACCAUCAAAACCCUCAACUCCUUCUUCGCCAUCGAACUGGUUCUUCAAGUUCAGUAUAUUGAUCAACCAUUCGAGUGUAUGACACAUUGGUAUGCUCGUGUGACACACCUUUCGUAAACUUGGGAUACAGAUCCUUCUUGGCUAUCCAUACAUAUCCAUACCUUCUAGGUUCCACAUAACAAAGGUUCAUCCUCCAAGCUCGCUCAAUCUGGUGUCUUCGAGAAUAACAGAAAUCAACCUUAUGACCAUGAUUCCCACAAAACAAACAACCAUUCUUCCUAGUUAUUGCAGGCUUUGGAGAGUGUAGUUUUGUCUGAUCAUUAGGUUCUUUUUUCACAGGUGUAGAUGUAUAUCUUUUCUCAGCUUUCGAGCUACUUUCAGGGUUAGAUGGAGUACCUUUUACAAACUUGAUAUCAUCGACUGGAAUAGCUUGAUCUUUUGGAGCAGCACCCUUGUAUCCUAAGCCCCAAUUCACCUUUGGAGGUUGUCCAACUGAUAAUAUAUGAUCUAAAGUUGCAGAUCCUCUGUUCAGCAUCCUUAACUUUUUGUAAUUUUCACUGAGUUCUCUUUGCAGCAGCUGACUUUUCUCGCGUUCCUCAUUCAAUAGCUGUUUCGUCUGAUCAUAUUUAGUCUCCAUACUCUUUAGAUUGUAGGCCUGCUCAGAGAUUUUCUUUUGUGAACUAUGUGGAUCAGACUCCUUCUCUUCUUUUGACACUCCAGUCUCAGAUUUAUUGUUGGUUUCCAACUCUAAAAUGUUCACUUUUGCUUUCAGCAUUGUUGUAUCUUUGAUCAGCUGAAUAUUUUCUUCACUGAGUUUAGCAAAUUGACCAAACAGAACCUGAUACUCAGCUAGAAGAUCCACAUCUAUAUCACUUUCUGCAUCACUAUGUGACACAUCGGAGUUGGUGUGUGACACACACGACGCACGAAAUUCACCUUUAAUGAUGUCUUUUCCAGACCCUAUAGCUCCAUGAAGAGCCACAAAAUUUAGAGCAUCUUCUUUUCUUUCUGGCUUUUUGUCAUUGCAAAUUCUCCUCUUCUUCAUCUUCUUUGUGUUCACACAAUCUGAUUUUAUGUGUCCAUAACCAUUACAUCCAUUGCACUUGAUUUCUUUUCUCUUGAAUGAUGGACAAUCUGUUUUGACAUGUCCACCGCUCCCUGCAUUUUAUUUUUUUCUUCUUCUUUAGGCAGUUUGUCGUUGGACAUCUUAUACAAGAGAUUCAUGGUUUCUUCAAGUUUCUGAAUCAUCAGGUGAAUAGAUUCUUCAAGUUUUUGAGCUCUUUGGAUGUCUUCUUCAACUGUAACUGUAAAGUCUUGAGCAGGUUUUGAAAACUUAGAUUUCAGUUCCAUCUCCUCAGCCUUUAAUAUCCCUACUACCUCAGCAACUUGAGUUCAUCAGUGUUCAUCGUCAAGUUUAUUGCUGCUUUAUGUGCUGCAAACUUAGUAGGCAAACAUCGCAGAAACUUCUUCACCAAUUUUGCAUCUUCGUAUUUUUUACCUAAAACUUGUGCUUCAUUGGCUAUGGAGCUAAGCUUUGCACUGAAAUCUCCUAUCUUCUCAUCAUCUGUCAUUCUUAUGUCUUCAAACUGUGAUGCAAGAAAAUCCAAUCUUAUCCUCCUAAAAUUUGCAGUACCCUCAAAAGCAUUUUGUAGUAUAUCCCAAGCCUCCUUAGCUGAUUCACAUCCCUGUAUAAGCUCAAAUUGCUUUCCAUCUACAGAACUGAAGAUUGUAUCCAGUGCUUUCGCAUUAAACCUUGAAAGUUUUUUCUCUGUUGCAGUCCACUUUGUCUUCGGUUUAAGUGUCUUCAAGCCAUCUUCUUGCAUCACACACGGUUCUUCCCAUCUAGAAGGAACAACUGUCCAGAUAUCUUCAUCAGCUCCACGUAAGUUUGCUCUCAUUCUCACUUUCCAGUACCCAUAAUUCACAUCAUUCAGCAACAACAUAUUAUUUGCCAAAAUCGCCAUAUUCUCUUCUCAGGAUCUCACCUUGGUUCGAAGAACUCUUCUUCGUUUAGAUGUCCGGCUCUGAUACCAAAUGUAAAAUCGAGAUACAGCGAAAACACAAGGCACAAAGUGAUUCCAAGAACUCGUGUAUCUUUUAUUAGAAAUCUUUUACACAAUCUCUUACAGACUUGUUUGAUCUGAAUUACACAACUCGACACAGAUCGAUUUCUAACAAGCCCAACUUACUUGACUCAACACCUGUUGAUCAAGUCUACCAAUUCACUCAGCUAUGAAACCCCAAAACCCUUUGUGUUUCUCUCUGAGAAUUACAACGUGAAAGCUCUAACCCUAAUCUUAGGUAAAGCCACCAUAUAUAUUAAAUAAUAUUUUCCUAUUAUCUAAUAUAAUAUUUCCUAUAUUUUAGCAUCACCAAAUAUUCCAAUUUGUGAUCUAAUAACAUUCCUUUAAUGCUUAUUUCGUCAACCAAGCAU